This is a long non-coding RNA of Daucus carota subsp. sativus, 2394 nucleotides long. RefSeq lists it as uncharacterized. The transcript has 6 exons. NCBI's taxonomy places the organism in Eukaryota, Viridiplantae, Streptophyta, Magnoliopsida, Apiales, Apiaceae. The record is from RefSeq and is a predicted model, not a curated record.
UAGAAACUGGAUGAGUCUUUGUAAUAUUAGAAACAAGGAGUUUGGUUGAGGCAUUUUAUUCCACUUGUACAGCCACGUCACAGCCACAUAGACAUCCACGUCAUACUUAAAUUACAACAUAUCAUUAUUGUUUGUGCAUAUUUUCCUGCAGGCUGCAACUGUUGAGCUGUCCUUUGCGAUGCCUUCACCCAUCAUCAUUCUAACUCCUUCCUCAACCGAUCAGCCUUUUCCAGCUGUUCUAAUAUCUCCCUUCCCUCUGUUGCCAAUCUUAUCGAACAUCAACGUGUAUGCCAGAGAUAUAGCAUUGCUAGGUGUUUGAUGAAAUUACUGAACCAGUUUGAUUUUUACAAAUUCUUGUGCAUUAGAAGGAAGAUAUGGGUAAAUUGUUUUUGAUAAUAUUUGUUGUGUGCCUCUCGUAUGCUGGGCUUUGGGCAUUCUUGUACUCCGACUUCAAUUUAUGCAUCUCUGCACUGUGAUGCUGUCCACAUUCACCUGGGGAUGCUGUAGUACUUUAAUCUGGUAGAAGGAUGCAUCACUGUGAUCAAAUCAUAUUAGGCCUAGAUGAAUUUUACCUACGACUGGAUUGUCCACGGCUACUGGUCCCCGUUGAGCCCUGAGUUGUGGUUUUGCAGGUGCACUAAACCUAGCUGAAACAUUUCAUUCUUUCAUGGAGAAACAGAAAACUAUGGGGAAAGAAGUUGAAAUGGCUUUGAUGGAUAUGUACGGCAAGUGUGGUGCUCCGGAGAAAGCUAUUAAGUCAUUCAAUGGCAUUCUACAAAAUCUGUUUUAGCUUGGAGUGCUAUGAUCGUUGGUUUGGCGAUGAAGGUCUUCCCAAGGAUGCACUUGACUUCUUCGCCCAGAUGCAAAAGCCAAAUAUUAAACCAAAUGAGGUCACGUUCCUUGGCAUUCUAUCAGCAUGCAACUACUCAAUGCAAUGAGUGAAGUUUAUGGCAUCACACCAAGAUCUGAACACUUCGGUUGUAUGGUUGACAUACUUGCGCGAGCUGGAUUAUUGGAGGAGGCAGACAUAUUUAUUCGGAAUUUUCCAUUCAAGGCUGAUGUAGGUGUUUGGGGACCCCUUCUCGGCGGAUGUAGAUUGCACAAUGAUGUUCUGAUGGGGCAGAAGGUAGCCGAAAUUCUAAUAGAACUGGAUCUAUCUCACUCUAGACGUUAUGUUCUUCUCACAAACAUUUACGCGGCAGAUAAUAGAUGGACAGAUGCAGAGAAGGUGAGGAGAGGUAUGAGAAUUUCUAAAGUCCAGAAAACUCCAGGAUAUAGCUUGAUUGAGCAAAGUGGAUCUGACAAAGUUGGUGUUGAAACAAUGUGAAACAAGAGAGAGUGUUUCAAAAAAAAGCUUACAGAAUUGUAUGAUUAUCUCAAGUAUGAUGCUUCAUUUAGAGGAGGCGACAAGUUCUUCAGAUUCUUGUAUCUUCUUUGUACGGUCUGAUUAUCUGUUAUAAUAUAGCACCCAUCAAUUUAGUUAUAAUAUACUGUACAUUACAUAACAAAUCGAGUUCAAAAUCAUUAUUGCCUGGUCACACAGCAUUUCCCUGUUCUCAGUCGAACUUGAUAUCGCAUAAAAAUGGUUUAUAUACCCAGUAUAGUAUUACAAUUAAAGAUGAACAGAGUAAGUAGUGGCAUACAUAUGGAUAUAUGUGUUGAGCACAUUCAUCUGAAUAUUUAAAAAUACAUCAAUUGCAUUUUUUAUGAUCGUUUUUGCUAUGCAACACACUGGAGUCCAUCAUGCCAUGAAACCAGAUCCAUAUAGAGGUGUUUUUUGUUCUGGUUGUGAAAAGUGUGCUAAGGACGUUCACCAUCUCAUUUAGUUUGGUACUUCGGGCAACAUUGCUGGUUUUAUUUGUGAGGCAAUUCAGGGAGUGGGUGGUAUUGUUGAAUUGGCUCUAGGUUACCUGUCUGCAUUAUAUAGCAUUAUCAAGAAAGCCCGAGGCCUUUUUAUAUCCGAUGAGAUUCAGUCAGGAUUUGUUAGGACAGGGAGCCAUGUUUGGGGAUUUGAGUCCCAUGGCAUUGUGCCUGACAUUGUUACAAUGGCAAAGGUUGAUUACAGGGCAUGGAAGCUACUUAGAUUUAGUUUUGCAGCUGCUAUAACAGGAGGGAUGGACAACAUUUAGAUUGUUACAUUGACACUUAAACAUCUGAGUUGGCCACCCUAGAGCCAUUCGAGAGGGACCAUAAGCAUUGGUUCAUCACCGGCAUUGAAGGAAGAUUGUAGCAAAGAUGUGGAGGUGGUCAGGAGAAGUCCCUGUAAACGAAUUAUAGAUGAAUAUGCGAAUAUAUAGCUACAAUUUCUAUUUGUUACUGAAUUAGAAGGUGAACUCAUGAAAAGAUUUGCACCACAUGCAGCAAUAGAAAGCACACUCUGGCAACUUAUAUGCA